GAGGAAGAACGCAGCGAAAUGCGAUAAGUAGUGUGAAUUGCAGAAUUCAGUGAAUCAUCGAAUCUUUGAACGCACAUUGCGCCCCUUGGUAUUCCAUGGGGCAUGCCUGUUCGAGCGUCAUUUGUACCUUCAAGCUCUGCUUGGUGUUGGGUGAUUGUCUAUCUUUGUAGACUCGCCUUAAAGUCAUUGGCAGCCGGCAUAUUGGCCUGGGAGCGCAGCACAAGUCGCGCUUCUUGUCAUGAAUGUUGGCGUCCAGUAAGUCUACAUAUUUUGCUCUUGACCUCGGAUCAGGUAGGGAUACCCGCUGAACUUAAGCAUAUCAAUAAGCGGAGGA
This 334-nucleotide unclassified non-coding RNA is filed under the name soil metagenome. RNAcentral's name for it is "partial contains 5.8S ribosomal RNA, internal transcribed spacer 2, and large subunit ribosomal RNA". The stretch from base 1 to 120 matches the Rfam family "5.8S ribosomal RNA", at positions 35 to 154 of the family's 154-position model. The record is from RNAcentral.